Molecule: transfer RNA, 60 nt
Filed under: Dipodomys ordii (Ord's kangaroo rat)
Lineage: Eukaryota; Metazoa; Chordata; Mammalia; Rodentia; Heteromyidae
Rfam family: tRNA
About the family: Transfer RNA (tRNA) molecules are approximately 80 nucleotides in length.
Source: Rfam by way of RNAcentral
GUGGCUCAGUGGUAGAGCGCUUGUCUUGCAUGCAUGUGGCUCUGGGUUCGAUUCCUCAGC